Molecule: ribosomal RNA, 463 nt
Filed under: uncultured bacterium
Lineage: Bacteria
Description: bacterial SSU rRNA
Rfam family: Bacterial small subunit ribosomal RNA
Source: RNAcentral
ACUAAAUAGAUACCCGGGUAGUCCACGCUGUAAACGAUGAGUGCUAGAUGCCGGAUUUUUCGGUGUCGCAGCUAAACGCAUUAAGCACUCCACCUGGGAAGUACGAUCGCAAGGUUGAAACUCACAGGAAUUGACGGGGGCCCGGCACAAGCAGUGGAGCAUGUGGUUUAAUUCGAUGCAACGCGAAGAACCUUACCUAGGCUUGAAAAGCUUAUGACCGGCUGUGAAAGCAGCUUUCCCGCAAGGGCAUAAGUACAGGUGCUGCAUGGCUGUCGUCAGCUCGUGCCGUGAGGUGUUGGGUUAAGUCCCGCAACGAGCGCAACCCUUACCAUUAGUUGCCACCGGAGCAAUCCGAGCACUCUAAUGGAACUGCCUACGCAAGUAGUGAGGAAGGUGAGGAUGACGUCAAGUCCGCAUGGCCCUUACGCCUAGGGCUACACACGUGCUACAAUGGCCGCCACAA